RNAcentral lists this ribosomal RNA (487 nucleotides) under uncultured bacterium. RNAcentral describes it as "partial 16S ribosomal RNA". It matches the Rfam family "Bacterial small subunit ribosomal RNA", at positions 899 to 1397 of the family's 1533-position model. The record is from RNAcentral.
ACUCAAAGGAAUAGACGGGGGACCGCACAAGCAGCGGAGCGUGUGGUUUAAUUCGAGGCUACACGAAGAACCUUACCUAGGUUUGACAUCGUACUGAAGUCUGCGUGAAAGCGUGGAUGUCCCGCAAGGGACAGUAUGACAGGUGCUGCAUGGCUGUCGUCAGCUCGUGCCGUGAGGUGUUCGGUUAAGUCCGCAAACGAGCGCAACCCUCGGUGCCAGUUACAAGUGUCUGGCGCGACUGCCCGUGGCAAACGGGAGGAAGGUGGGGAUGACGUCAAGUCAGCAUGGCCUUUAUAUCUAGGGCUACACACACGCUACAAUGGCGCGUACAAUGGGUCGCGAACCCGCGAGGGGGAGCUAAUCCUAAAAAGCGCGUCUCAGUUCAGAUCGUAGGCUGCAACCCGCCUGCGUGAAGUUGGAGUUGCUAGUAACCGCGCGUCAGCAGAGUGCGGUGAAUACGUUCCCGGUCCUUGUACACACCGCCCGU